UCACACACGAUGACUGAACCCAGGGCCUCACAGAUGCUAGGCAAGCAUUUCAUCAUUUUUUAUUUUUCUAAUUAUUUUUGUUUUGUUAGGACUUGUCUGAAACAAGGUUUCACUAUAUUGACCACGCUGGCCUUGAACUCACUCUGUAGCCCUGGCUGACAUAAAACCCACUGUGAUCCUCCUGCCUCAGCCUCUAGAAUACAGGGAGUACAGCCAUGUCUGACUACACCAGGCUCUAUUUUUUUAGUUUUGAGACGGUCUUGCUAAACGCCAGGCUGGCCUCAAACGUGCGAUGUGUCUGCCUCAGUCUUCUGAGCAGCUGGGACUCUGAGUGCGCAGCACCCUAUCCGGCUCUUAAUCGCCUCUUUAAGCCGCAUCUCCACACACACAGUGGCACGGCAUCCGUGAAGAUGGCUGCAGACAGAAAAAUACGCUGCCUGCUCCCAGUACUGGAGUACACUGUGAGCAUGCUGGAGGCAGGGUUACCCACACCGGCUGCAUUCAGCAGCCAGUGCCCGACGUGUGCCUGACUCUCAGUGCGCACGAGCCUGUCGUCGGUCACAGCGGCCACCAGUCACGGUGCCGCCUCGACGCAGCAGCGCAGUGCCAACACGUGACCUCUUACUACCGUGCAGAGCUAGGAAGCUCCAGCAGGUAUUUAACAAACCGGUUUCCUUCUGAUGAAUGAGGUUCAAAGCCAAUAGAAUCACACUAACACUUCAAACUCAAAGACAAGUUUGCACUAAUUUAGGGCUACUAUCAAGAAACCAGCAUUUCAAAUCCAUACCAGGUGUGGUGGUGCUCACCUGUAACACCAGCACUGAGGACACUGAGGCAGGAGGAUCCCUGAGUCUGAGGACAGCCUGCACUACGCAGUGAGACUUGGUCUCCAAAAAGAAAGAAGAGUUCAUGAACUCUUCAUUUAAUCUAUCAAUCAAUAGAUAAAAAGGACAAUUCUGUUAAAAAUGCAGAACCUGGAAGACACUGUUUUUCAAUCACAGUGCUUGGCAAGGCAAAGCAACAGCACAGAGGCCAAGGGCGCACCUCUAAAGGGUCACUGACACCAGAGCUAGACCCGUGUACCACUCACCUGCUGCUUCUCAACAGCUCCGACCCUCGGCCUCUUCAACGUAAGAGGGUUAGCACUACCACAAGCACAUAGAGGGUUACCUACAGGCAGGGAUGUCUGAGCGCGCCUGUAACCUCAGAAUUUGAGUUUAACCCUAGUGUAACUCUCAUCUCCUAAGAAGUAUUUCUUGAUCUUUUCCACCUAUAGCAAGCUGUUCUCUUGAUUUCUGAUUCCAGCCUUCCUUUUCAUCUGUCCACUCAUCCAUAUUUACUCAUACUUUAUAGUUAUAAAGCAAUGAACACAACGGACAAAAUCCUCUGCCCUCACAGGGCUUACACUCUGGUGCAGGGAACUAGACAAUAAACAGAAUAUAGGCGAUAGAUCUUAGAUGAAGCACUAAGGAGAAAAUAAGCAGACCGUUUGCGUGUUGUGUGCGUGCACGCACGUGUGUCAGGGAACGGGGGAAUGGAUUUCAGGCCGGCCAUACUGAGAAUGUACCCUUCCACUCAAAGUCUGAGUAACGUGGGCGAGCACAUACAAGGGAUGCCCCUGCUGAGAUGGGGAAGGAAAAGUCUGGUUAGAGUGAGCCCAAGAGAGAACAGAAACUAGAAACAGCAAACACAGACAACAUCUUUAAUGGGUUUCGCUGUUUAAUUAUGGAGAGAAAAUGGGUAGAGCUAGAGAGGAAAGUGACCCCCAAAAGAUUUUAUUUUCCACUUAAAGAGAGCCAAAGACAUGUUUAUUUGCUGAAAGAAAAAGGGACAAUGCCAUGUAUUUGUGUGAAUCCGCCCAAAAGGUUCAAAGAUUGAAAAUACUGACAGGGGAUCAGGUAGCAGUUUAGGAAUUAACACCAUCUGGCAGCUCUGCAGCAGGCAUCACUGUACUCUUCAGCUACCUGGUCUGUCAAAGGAUAUUAUUAACUUUCUGAGAAAAAAGAGGUGCAAGGCAGAGAUGAACAGAACCGGAAAAAAACUGUGUGGAUCUCAGCCAACCCUAAUCAAGAAACUGACUCUCUAUACGUGAGAAUACAUUCUAAACUUCGGUGUAGAAUGUUACAAAAGGCUUUCUGAAAACAAAUAGGACUGAUGAAACUGAGGUGGCUGUAAUCCCAGCUACUCAGGAGGCCCAGGCAGGAGGACCACAAGUUUGAGACCAGGCUGAGCAACUGAGCAAAAUCCUUUCUCAAAAAAUAAAAAGAGCUGGGAUAUAGCUCGGUGGUGCAGCAUUGGCCUAGCACUGCUCCAGGCCUUGGGUCCAAUCCUAGUACACCCUCCCCGCAAAAACAGCACUGAGAAGGAAAAGAGAUGUCUAGCCUUACCAGAUAAUAGGCAAUGUGGCAAUUUAAACAUCAUGAAACUUACCCUAAACAAGACAUUAAAGGUGAUGCGAUACAGAUGCCUACCUACCAAGCUGGAAACCUAUUAAUAUCCCAACUACACUACCAACUAAACUACAAGUAUCAGAAAGUCACUUAAUGAAAAACUACAGCGCUGUGAAAACAGGAGGCCUGCUCUGUCA
Long non-coding RNA from Chinchilla lanigera (long-tailed chinchilla), 2587 nucleotides. The record is from Ensembl. Lineage: Eukaryota; Metazoa; Chordata; Mammalia; Rodentia; Chinchillidae.